Molecule: long non-coding RNA, 186 nt
Organism: Cimex lectularius (bed bug)
Lineage: Eukaryota; Metazoa; Arthropoda; Insecta; Hemiptera; Cimicidae
Exons: 2
Source: RefSeq, a predicted model, not a curated record
UAGUCUUGAAAUGCACAAAAAAGGCAGAAAUAGUAGGUGAGUGAUGAUAAGUGGACGGAUAAUGAGGUAAGUGGACUCUUAGGUGCUAGGCAGCAUCGUGCGACCGUUUUGAAUUGGCGGAAACCCACUGUCUCCAUUCGCGAAAAGUGGCAUACCGUAGUUCUGUGUCGAGCUUUACAGCAUCGU